Molecule: ribosomal RNA, 250 nt
Filed under: uncultured bacterium
Lineage: Bacteria
Description: partial 16S ribosomal RNA
Rfam family: Bacterial small subunit ribosomal RNA
Source: RNAcentral
UCAUGCCUACGGGACGCAGCAGUGAGGAAUAUUGGUCAAUGGACGAGAGUCUGAACCAGCCAAGUAGCGUGAAGGAUGACUGCCCUAUGGGUUGUAAACUUCUUUUAUAUGGGAAUAAAAUGUUCCACGUGUGGGAUUUUGUAUGUACCAUAUGAAUAAGGAUCGGCUAACUCCGUGCCAGCAGCCGCGGUAAUACGGAGGAUCCGAGCGUUAUCCGGAUUUAUUGGGUUUAAAGGGAGCGUAGGUGGUU